UACGUAGGGGGCGAGCGUUGUCCGGAUUUAUUGGGCGUAAAGAGCGUGUAGGCGGCCAGGUAGGUCUGCUGUGAAAACUCGAGGCUCAACCUCGAGACGUCGGCGGAAACCAUCUGGCUAGAGUCCGGAAGAGGAGAGUGGAAUUCCUGGUGUAGCGGUGAAAUGCGCAGAUAUCAGGAGGAACACCGGUGGCGAAGGCGGCUUCCUGGACACUUACUGACGCUGAGACGCGAAAGCGUGGGGAGCAAACAGG
RNAcentral lists this ribosomal RNA (253 nucleotides) under uncultured bacterium. Its description in RNAcentral is "partial 16S ribosomal RNA". It matches the Rfam family "Bacterial small subunit ribosomal RNA", at positions 524 to 776 of the family's 1533-position model. The record is from RNAcentral.